GUUAAUUUCUUCUUUCCUUACAUCU
Molecule: small nuclear RNA, 25 nt
Filed under: Arabidopsis thaliana (thale cress)
Lineage: Eukaryota; Viridiplantae; Streptophyta; Magnoliopsida; Brassicales; Brassicaceae
Description: snRNA_15628
Source: RNAcentral